UACGUAGGGUGCGAGCGUUAAUCGGAAUUACUGGGCGUAAAGCGUGCGCAGGCGGCUUUGCAAGACAGAUGUGAAAUCCCCGGGCUCAACCUGGGAGCUGCAUUUGUGACUGCAAGGCUAGAGUACGGCAGAGGGGGAUGGAAUUCCGCGUGUAGCAGUGAAAUGCGUAGAUAUGCGGAGGAACACCAAUGGCGAAGGCAAUCCCCUGGGCCUGUACUGACGCUCAUGCACGAAAGCGUGGGGAGCAAACAGG
RNAcentral lists this ribosomal RNA (253 nucleotides) under uncultured bacterium. RNAcentral's name for it is "partial 16S ribosomal RNA". It matches the Rfam family "Bacterial small subunit ribosomal RNA", at positions 524 to 776 of the family's 1533-position model. The record is from RNAcentral.